GCCGGUGGGCGGGGCGGGAGAUGCGGAGACCGCGGAGUGGGGCCGCCCCACGGGCUGGGUGCCGGAGCUACGCCGUAGGGGCGCGGCGUCGCGGCGGCCCGAGCCGGGAAGACCCAUUCUCUUUACGCGGCUGCCGUAAGGAAACUUGGUCCGCCCUCCCUCGGUGCUCCGGAGUCCUGGCCCCGGCUCCCCGGUGCGCCACGGGUCGGCGAAGCGCCUCUGCGUCAGGGCCUCGCUCCCCCGCCAGGUGCGGGGCCUCGGCGCCAUGGACUCGUCGGCGCUGGAGCGGGACGCCGUGCAGUUCGCGCGGCUGGCGGUGCAGCGCGACCACGAAGGGCGCUAUUCGGAGGCGGUGUUUUACUACAAGGAAGCUGCACAAGCCUUAAUUUAUGCUGAGAUGGCAGGAUCGAGCCUAGAACACAUUCAAGAAAAAAUAAAUGAAUAUCUGGAAAGAGUUCAGGCUUUACAUUCAGCAGUUCAGUCAAAGAGUGCUGAUCCUUUGAAAUCAAAACAUCAGUUGGACUUGGAGCGUGCCCAUUUCCUUGUUACACAAGCUUUUGACGAAGAUGAAAAGGGGAAUGUUGAAGAUGCUAUAGAAUUGUAUACUGAAGCCGUAGAUCUCUGUCUAAAAACUUCCUAUGAAACUGCUGAUAAAACUCUGCAAAAUAAACUGAAACAGUUGGCUCGACAGGCACUAGAUAGAGCAGAAGCAUUGAGUGAGCCUUUAACAAAGCCAUUAUGCAAAGUCAAGUCAACCAAUAUUAAACCAAAGCCACCUCCAGCAAGAGCACAUUUUCCACUAGGAACUAACCCCUUUCUUGAAAGACCUCAGCAGUUUAUAAGUCCACAGGCAUGCGAUGCACAAGGACAGAGAUACACGGCAGAAGAAAUAGAAGUUCUCAGGACAACAUCAAAAAUAAAUGGUGUAGAAUAUGUUCCUUUCAUGGCUAUCGACCUGAGAGAACGUUUUGCCUUUCCAAUGCCUUUCUGUGAUAGAUUGGGCAAGCUACCAUUAUCACCUAAACAAAAAGCUAUGUUUUCCAAAUGGGUACGCCCAGAAGACCUCAGCAACAAUCCUACAAUGAUUUAUACUGUGUCCAGUUUCAGCAUAAAACAGACAAUAGUAUCAGAUUGUUCCUUUGUUGCAUCACUGGCUAUUAGUGCAGCUUAUGAAAGACGAUUUAAUAAGAAGUUGAUUACCAGCAUAAUUUACCCUCAGAAUAAGGAUGGUGAGCCAGAGUAUAAUCCAUGUGGAAAGUAUAUGGUAAAACUUCACCUCAAUGGUGUCCCAAGAAAGGUGAUAAUUGAUGACCAGUUACCUGUUGAUCAUAAGGGAGAAUUGCUUUGUUCUUAUUCUAACAACAAAAGUGAAUUAUGGGUUUCUCUCAUUGAAAAAGCAUAUAUGAAAGUCAUGGGAGGAUAUGAUUUCCCAGGAUCCAAUUCAAAUAUUGAUCUUCAUGCACUGACUGGGUGGAUACCAGAAAGGAUUGCUAUGCAUUCAGAUAGCCAGACUUUCAGUAAGGAUAAUUCUUUCCGAAUGCUUUAUCAAAGGUUUCACAAAGGGGAUGUCCUCAUCACUGCAUCAACUGGAAUGAUGACUGAAGCUGAAGGAGAAAAGUGGGGUCUGGUUCCCACACAUGCAUAUGCUGUUUUGGAUAUUAGAGAGUUCAAGGGGCUGCGAUUUAUCCAGUUGAAAAAUCCCUGGAGUCAUUUACGUUGGAAAGGACGAUAUAGUGAAAAUGAUGUAAAAAACUGGACCCCAGAGUUGCAAAAAUAUUUAAACUUUGAUCCUAGAACAGCUCAAAAAAUAGACAAUGGAAUAUUUUGGAUCUCGUGGGAUGAUCUCUGCCAAUAUUAUGAUGUGAUUUAUUUGAGUUGGAAUCCAGGUCUUUUUAAAGAAUCAACAUGUAUUCACAGUACUUGGGAUGCUAAGCAAGGACCUGUGAAAGAUGCCUAUAGCCUGGCCAACAAUCCCCAGUACAAGUUGGAGGUGCAGUGUCCACAAGGGGGCGCUGCAGUUUGGGUUUUGCUUAGUAGACACAUAACAGACAAGGAUGAUUUUGCAAAUAAUCGAGAAUUUAUCACAAUGGUUGUAUACAAGACUGAUGGAAAAAAGGUGUAUUAUCCAGCUGACCCGCCCCCAUACAUUGAUGGGAUUCGAAUUAACAGCCCUCAUUAUUUGACUAAGAUAAAGCUGACCACACCUGGGACCCAUACCUUUACAUUAGUGGUUUCUCAGUAUGAAAAACAGAAUACAAUCCAUUACACAGUCCGGGUAUAUUCAGCAUGCAGCUUUACUUUUUCAAAGAUUCCUUCACCGUACACCUUAUCAAAGCAGAUUCAUGGAAAGUGGAGUGGUCAGAGUGCUGGAGGAUGUGCAAAUUUCCAAGAGACUCAUAAAAAUAAUCCCAUUUACCAAUUCCAUAUAGAAAAGACUGGGCCAUUACUAAUUGAACUAAGAGGACCAAGGCAGUAUAGUGUUGGAUUUGAAGUUGUAACGGUGUCUGUGGUGGGAGACCCUGGUCCCCAUGGCUUUCAGAGGAAAUCUAGUGGUGACUACAGGUGUGGGUUUUGCUACCUGGAAUUAGAAAAUAUACCUGCUGGGAUUUACAAUAUCAUUCCCAGUACAUUUUUGCCUAAACAAGACGGACCUUUUUUCUUGGACUUUAAUAGUAUUAUUCCCAUCAAGACAACACAGCUUCAGUGAUGGGGAAAUGGCUGCACUUACUGGAUUUUAUACUUACCAAACAAUCAACUCUUCAAAUGAAGACACAAAUCUGCAGGACACUAAACAAGAUGAAAAUUGUCAUAUUCGUUUAAUAGCUGGGAAACAGAAAUCUCUAGCAUGUGCUUGUCAAGAGGACUGUUGUGAUGAGAGACAGAACCCACGCUAUGGAGCCGGAAGCCCCCAGAACAGGACUUGGAAACUAUCUCAGUGAUAAACACCGACAGCACAUUCACACAGCCCUGGGGGCUCCAAGACCUGGUCACGGUCUAGAACAAGGUCUAGGACAGUGCAGAGAUCUGGCUGCAAAGGCAGGGUCACCCGGGACAGCACUACUGGUGAGAGGGCUGCAACUCACCUCGUUCCACCUCACACUCCGGGGAGGAGGCCCCGCUGCAUUCACUGCGAGGGCCUAAUACUGGAAACAUCACUCCAAACUCUGACAGGGACACAGGGCUGGGAAGAUCCAGGCUGCCGGGCCUCACAACUGCAGAAAACUGGUCGGCCAUCCCAGAUGGGCUCAUGGGUCCUGAACUAAAGCUGGACACAGACUGGGUCUCCGAGUCAUCUUCAGACACAAAGGUGCUGCAGUUGUCAUCUUCAAAGGCCUCAGAGGCCACUAGGAUGAGAGAGAACACCAGUCACACAGGUUCUGAUAGCAGCCUAAUUCCUUAAACACCUCCAGAAGCGUUUGCUGCUGCAGACAGCUAGACACAGCAUGGGGACUGCAGAAUCCCUGCCACUGUGGGUGCCUAACAAAAGGAACGUGACCCUCCCCAGCAUGCACGACCAGACUAACGCAGCUAAAGGGAAGUGGCUGGCAGCUGGGUCCCAUGCAUGGUCAGUGUCCUGCAGUAAUGUCAUAGCCUGUGUGCCCUACAAGUUAGUGUCAGUAGACACUGCCUAAAGGUAGAAGAUGAAUUCAGCCACAGAUCAGGGACUUUUCUCCACUCCUGUCCCCCCUACCCCCCAAAAGAUCCACACUUGCACCGGAAGAGGGCUGGCCCUUUGUAAAGGAUCCCCAGCAAAGCCAGUCAGACAUCAAGGCUUUCCUCCACAACAGAAGCAGGAGCUGCUGGGAAAAACAGCCCUGCUUGGAAUACCUGCUGGGACCUUUGCUGUCUUCCAGGUGACUUAUCUCAAAAGACGCACUCAGAGCCUACCUAGGUCACAGUUUGCUGCAGAAGAAAAUUCCUUCCCAGUGCUCUGUAAUUGGACUUACUUUUAGACCAGAAUAACCAAGGCCCAGAGACAUGUCAUUGUCAUGGUUCGAAAGCCACUUCAGCCUUUAACUAGUUCCCUCUGCCUGCACAUAAUCCUGCUUAUUAGAUUUUUCCUCUUCUACUCCCCUUUCUUCCUCCCUCAUCUUUAAAAACAGCCUUGUGGCAUCCCAUAGAUGAUUACCAUAAAUGAGAAAUGCUGAAAUGUUGGGGGCAAAAUGGGCUCAAAUCUGAUUCCCAAUCCUGUUUCCACUAUUUGUUGUAUAGCCUUGGUCAAGUUACUUAACCUCUGAGCUUCACAUUCCUCUCCAUAGAGGGUAAAUGAGAUGAUGCAUAUCAAAGUCCUCAUAUUGUUGAUUCUCAGAUCAUAGUUUCCUCUUCCUUUACUUGGGCCCCCACUUGAACAUUUGUUGGGAAAGGAGCCUGGGAAAGAGCCACUGGGGACCACGGCACAGAAAGGAAGAGGAAUUGUACAAAGACGGUGUUGGAGAGUUUUCAUGGUUAACAUAAAGGGAGCCACAUCAAACCUCUAAUACCAGUUUUCCUGGAAAAGGGCUCUCUAUGGUCAGACACCAGUGACAGCCACCACUGUGGAAUGUUAAUUUCAUUAAUCCUUACCACCACUCUACAGUAGAGAGUAGGUACUACCAUACUCCCCAUUCUGCAGCUGAAGAAAGAGAUAAAAGAUAAAUCCUUGCCUGCAUCAUGUGCUCGUAAUGAUGGGAAGGUGAGGAUGUGAAUCAAACCUAAUUCCAGAGCCCUGUUCUUAGCUCUUUCCUGCAGUGCUUCUCAGGCCCUUGUGUGUUGUAGUAUGCACUUUGAACCUCAGAGAGGAGUGAACAUAUGACAUUUUUCCCAAACUUACUUGACCAGAGAAUCCUGAUUUUGAGGAACACAGCGUUCCACAAAAUGUGGUAAGUCACCAGAAAUAGCCCUCGGUCCCGCCCAAGUGAGGCUCUUCUGUGAUGGGGAAGACGGCCCGAAGCUGACCACACAACUUGCAUACGAGCCCCCGACUCACCAGAAACAGCAUCUGGCUCGGGUUUGCUCUCGGGCAGGUCCCCUGCAGAUGUGCUGCUGCCCUCAGCGCCCACGCCGCAGCCCCGAGGCCCCAUGGCGCUGGAGCGCCGCCGCUCGUGUAUCUCGUCCGAGAUCAUCUCCAGGUUCUUCAGGGCCGUCUUGUACUCGCCUUUUGCCAGGGCCAGUUUGGCCUGCAGGUCGUCCACGGUCUUCUUCAGUUGCUGGUCAGGAGAACAGGAGGCUCAGUAAGUGAAGGCUGCCCCUGCCGGCCUUGGGAUGCUUUUGAAUGGCAGGUCCAAGCAUGUUUUCUGCCCAUCACUCCACUCCAAGACAUGACCGAGGAUCUGAUUAUUCCUAUCAAAGCUGUCUGUGUACCAGAUAUAAAGCAGCCACUACCACUUCCAACUCCCAUCUGGGUAACAAACAAGCUCCAUAUCCAGAAACUACCACUGGCAGAACAAGCCCAAUCAGGGAAACAACAGUGGGUGUCAGAUUCACACAGAAGUCCCACAUUCUAGCCAUUUGGUCCCCAGCACUGUGGUUCUCGAACUUGUACCAGAAUGCCCUGGAGGGCUCUUGUAUCAGAAUACCUUGUUAGAGCUCACACGGCUGGGCUCCAUUCACAGUGGGCGUGGGGAACGACUUAGCAAUUUGUACUGUUAACAAGUUCCCAAGCGAUGUUGAUGUUACUGGUCCUAGGAGCAUACUGAGAACCACUGCCCAGUACAAUAUAGAAAGUGACUAAUCAGCAGAUGCAGAGAACGUCAGAGACCACGCAAGACCAUUUAGAGGCCUGAAAACUCAAUAAAGAAUGUCUCUCCACUCUCCUCUUGUAGCGAAUGAGGUAUUUGAAAGUAUCACAAAAAGUGGGGCUUUGCAUAAAAAUCCCAUCACCAACAAAACCAAAGGCCACACAUACCUCAAGCUGCAUGUAGUACUUUGCCUUGAGUUCAAAAUAAGGCCUGUGAAAGACAGAAAAAACAAGAGUGACAUAACACAGUGAAACUCCAUGAGGUGUGCAAGGCUAGGUCGUCCACGAGCUGAAGGUGGUGCUCCCAGCUCUGGGGCCUGAUGGAUACAGAUGCCAGUCAGAGGCACUGGGCUCACUCAAGAUUUGGGGAAUCCACACAUGUACACAGGUCCUGGAGCCCCUGCAUCCUGGUUCACUUUCCUCUCUGGGGAGGCUGCUUAAGGUCACAGGUUGUGCCCUGCAGCUAAUGUGGCCCGGAUCUCUUCUAAGGAGGUGGGCUCCCCAGGGAUGACCAGCAGAUAAGACUGGAUAAGGGGCUGUCUCAAACACCCUCUUCGAAAAGCUGGGUAAGGGGGAAGCACCAGUCCUCCCCCGACAACACAGCAGAGCCACUGGAAGGACGGGCUCAGGUUGCUCCCCUUGGGCUUUGUCCAGGAUAGAAGUAUGAGCUGGUCUACAGACCCAACUAGGUCAUGGGCAAGAGCAAGAACAAGAAAUGCAAACAUUAUACUAGUCCCCUGGGCUCUUGGUCAGCCAGAAGACCCUGGCUCUUUUUAGUGGCUCUGGCGCCUGAGCAUGAGGGGUAGACCAAUGCUUUACUCUUGAUUUGUUCACCUGCCGUGAAGCUCUGGGACUGUCUUUGGCUGUUGGGUCUAGGCCAGUGGUCAGCAAACUCAUUAGUCAACAGAGCCAAAUAACAGUACAAUGAUUAAAAUUUCCUUUGAGAGCCAAAUUUUUUAAACUUAAACUAUAUAGGUAGGUACACUGUUAUUAACUUAAUUAGGGUACUCCUAAGGCUUAGGAAGAGCCACACUCAAGGGGCCAAAGAGCCGCAUGACAGCUCAUCUCCACUCUGACAGAUAAACAGGCCCAGCCAAUGGGCCAUGGAAUGGUUUGCUUUUGAAAUUCCUUUUUCUGUGUUCCCCAGGAGCGGCCCCCAACUCAGCAUUUGUCCCUCUGGGAUAGGAAGCCUGGGCAAGAGGUUCUGGUGAGGCAGGUCCCUGAGUGCAGGGCACAUAAACGGUUGAGAAGAUGCGGAAGAAGAGAGCACCAUAUGGCCUCGGACCCUUAUACCCAGACUCACUUGGAUUUGUUGAUGGCUCUCUUGAGUUUCUUCUCCAGCUGCCGCAUGCGGCCCAUGGCCGCGUUGUACCUGGCUGCCGUCUCCUUGUGCACCAGCUCGCUCCUUGUCUUGGUGUGCUCUGCCUCCAUGACCUUCAAACAACAGAAGAGGUCAACCCAGCCAAGCCCAGAACAGUCCCUUGUUGGGGUAUAUCAUUUUUCUAAAAUAUCCUUUGAGUAAAUUAAUGGGCAGGCUGAAUUUAACUUCCAACGCGAACAGGAUUGCUUCAUCCUAUUUUUCUAUUUUGGAAAAGUCUUUGUCAGGACUAAAUAGCCAAAUUGGCUGUGGCAAUGACCAAGAAAGAAAACAAGGAAAAACAAAAAUACAAUAAAAAUGAAGCAUUCUCUGAUUCAAUCAACAUCCACUUCCUUCUGCUCAGGCCUCCUGGGUCUAAAUAGCUUGAGUUCCUGCUUCCACCUUGGGGCAGGCAAAUCGGCAAAUAGCACCAGUGGGAUUUUAGACAUCAAAGAACUGGGAUACCUAGCAAAGCAGGCAUGACAGCAUCAGGACAAGGCAAUUACCCUUGUUGUCCAGGAUAAUUAUGAAGUGUCAGGAAAAGUUAUGAGAGACUGAAGUGAGCAUAAAAAGUCACUGGGUGUCCUGUCUAGCACACCCUCCCAGGUCACUGGAGCUAUUUUAUGACCCUGUUAAGUUAUAGAAAGUGGAUAGUAAUACAGAUUAUUCUUAUUCCUAGAAAUGAAGAUGAAUUCUGUCCUAGUGGAGGUGCAUCUGAUAAUAUUAAUUACCCUGUAAAUAUUUACCAAUUUUGUAUCAGUUUAUAAAUUUGUUUCUGCAUCCCUGGUUUUCUACAUGAAUGUGUUUGUUGAAUUCUUCUUUGAAAUAGUUGUAACAUCUUACUAGUUCCCUCCUUAGUUAAUGAAUUAAAACCUUUGACACAGGAA
Myotis myotis is the source of this 7960-nucleotide RNA transcript. It is a transcript of the gene named calpain 7, with no coding region annotated. Lineage: Eukaryota; Metazoa; Chordata; Mammalia; Chiroptera; Vespertilionidae. The transcript has 22 exons. The record is from RefSeq and is a predicted model, not a curated record.